AGUACAAACAGAAGCCAAUUGAAAUUUGGUGCGAAAGAGGAGGACCAAAUGCGCCAUUAACCCUUUUGAAACAAAAGAACACGAAUCCAAUCUUUUGGAUUGGGUCAACACGCGUGGGUCCCCUCCUUUAAACUCCAUUUCCAAAUCUGAUGCCUAACAUUAAUUCCCAUUUAUUUCCUUUUCAAAACUCAGCAAACCUUUCAUUUUUUUUUAAAAAACAGAAGCUUUAACCCCUCCCCUAGGGUUUGAUUCAACAUGCAGCUGCCUAAACCAUCAUUUAUUUGAUGGUCGACGGUGCGCCAAUGGCGACCGAACCUUAUCGACGGAGGACAUACCUACGGAGAUCGGGUACGGUGCUGGCGUGGCUGGUGGUGUACGAAGGAGCACAUGUGAUGUGGUACGGUGCUUGGUUGCGACGCAAAACACAAAGGGGGUGACCCAGGGUUUCUGAAACUAAAAUUGUUUUAGUUUUGGGCAAUGGGUCAUGUAUUCAUUUUAGGUUUUGGACUGUAAAAAAAAGGACUUUUAAUUAAUGGACUGUUUUAUUUAUUAUAUAUUUUGGGUUUGGUUGUUGGGCCCGGACGAAUUUGGCCCGUUACAAUUAUUAUUGUUAUUAACAUAUAUUAUUAUUAUUAAA
Long non-coding RNA from Gossypium arboreum, 637 nucleotides. RefSeq lists it as uncharacterized. NCBI's taxonomy places the organism in Eukaryota, Viridiplantae, Streptophyta, Magnoliopsida, Malvales, Malvaceae. The record is from RefSeq and is a predicted model, not a curated record. The transcript is spliced from 2 exons.